Aphis gossypii (cotton aphid) is the source of this 1388-nucleotide long non-coding RNA. RefSeq lists it as uncharacterized. Lineage: Eukaryota; Metazoa; Arthropoda; Insecta; Hemiptera; Aphididae. The record is from RefSeq and is a predicted model, not a curated record. The transcript has 2 exons.
UUUAUCUAUUGUGUUCGAAAUUUCGAAUUCAAAAUAAGUUCAUACUCGACAGUCGACGGGAGACUAGUGCGCAUGAACGUGGACGUGGGCUAGGCGGGUGCAGGUGGGUUCACUAGGCGGCAGAUGUUUGUACUGGUGAUGGACUAGGCGAAGCGGGGAGAGCACUGGUGAUCGCCGCCGAAAAAAACCCGUCUGAAGUCUGAACACGACAAUUAAUACAAUGAAUACAUCGUUAUUCUGAAUGAAAUAAUAUAUUUAAAGGCGCCGUGAAAUCAUUUCAGACCAGUGGUUCUCAAUCUCUUUUUAAGGACCGCGACCCAAAUGUUCUUCCAAAAAAAUCUAUCGAGACCGCCUAUACUUCUAUAGAAGUCCUAUAGUCUAAGCAAUUUUUUUUUAAAAGACAUACAUUUCUUACAAUAUUUCAUAAUAUGUAUAAUUAAUAAACACUUCUAGCUACCCUCCAAAAAUUGACUCGCGACCCACGCAGCUUUAGAACCGCUGUUUCGGACAUUAACCGUACGCGUUUUUUAACGAUUUAUAGACGAGAAGGCUGGGUGAGCUAAAGCUAGCCCGAUCCCACGGUUUUCCGUGGGCCAUACUGCGUAUUUAUUUGUAAUUUUUUCCGAUCUAUAUACUGGCUAUAUGAUAGGUACUUAUAAUAUAAAUCAUUAUUAAUAUCGUUUUUAUUUUUUUAUUUGGUAAUUCUUUUUGUAUCAAAAUCACGCAUUUUCAGAAUUGAACAACUUUUUGUUGUUGUUCAGACCGGUGAAAAUGUCGUUUCUUUAGUUACGAGUUAUAGUAUGACCGUAGCCUUCUCGAUCGUUUCCCGCGCUAAUCAGUUUUUUUGUUAUGUUUUACAUUUUGUGAGACAAAGAAACACGUGCUAGACUGUAGCGUGCUCUUAAACAAUGAGAGACGCGAGUAUCUCACACACGGUGAAGAAUUUAACGACGGUCGAAAAUUAAUAUUAAAAUACGAGUAAUAUAAUAUUUAUGUAAUGAAUAAUACCUAAACCAGGAAUGGUUCGCGUUUGGCGAUUACAAUUAUUUCUGAAAAAAAUUGGUACAUAAAUAACAUUAAUUACGUCGUACCAUAGAUUAAAAUAUAUACUAGUAUAUUAUUAUUUAUUUUAAUCUAGGGUCGUACGUCGAUACAAAUAUUAAAUAUUCGAAUAAAAAGGUAGUGAUGAUCAAAAUGACAAAAAAGAUACGGGCACGUAUAAUAUUCCAUAGACACAUUUGGUCAAAGUCCAGUUCAUUACUCUCAAAGAACUGCUAGUAUGGACGUAUGGUAUUGGAGUAACAGAUAAUGAUAAAUUUAUUUUAUUAUUACUUCUUGUUAUAAUCAUAUAAGAAUUUCAAUGUAAUUAUAGUUGUCGUUACCAAAUA